RNAcentral lists this small nuclear RNA (19 nucleotides) under Arabidopsis thaliana (thale cress). Its description in RNAcentral is "snRNA_00269". The record is from RNAcentral. Lineage: Eukaryota; Viridiplantae; Streptophyta; Magnoliopsida; Brassicales; Brassicaceae.
CUUUGUUUGAAUUACAUAA